Tyto alba (common barn owl) is the source of this 302-nucleotide long non-coding RNA. RefSeq lists it as uncharacterized. The record is from RefSeq and is a predicted model, not a curated record. NCBI's taxonomy places the organism in Eukaryota, Metazoa, Chordata, Aves, Strigiformes, Tytonidae. The transcript is spliced from 3 exons.
CUGGGAGCCAAACGAAGUGCCCUCCCGCUGAGACCACGUAGAAUAUUCUGGAAGAGAUCUGAGAGGAGGGCAGCUCGACUAGGCUUUCUUGUUUGCUUCAGGCUGCUGAGGAAAAUCCUCCUUUGGCAUUCAGAGAUUGCAGUGAAGUGGGACUCUCCUGCCUGGAGGCGUUCAUGAGCUGUAUUUAGAGAAAAACACUAAGAUUCCAUUAAGUUCUUCAAGAAGGCAGCUGUGGAGUGCUAGAGCACUUGACCUAAGGCUGUGGGAUCUGCAUUGCAUUCCUACCUGGCCUGCUUUCUGCU